Rattus norvegicus (Norway rat) is the source of this 3180-nucleotide non-coding RNA. The record is from RefSeq and is a predicted model, not a curated record. NCBI's taxonomy places the organism in Eukaryota, Metazoa, Chordata, Mammalia, Rodentia, Muridae.
GGAAGAGAGAUGAGAGCAGAAGAAGAGAAAGAGGACAAAGAGAGAAGAAGGAAGGCUUUGCAGAUUGAAAUGGAGGUUGAUAUUCCUGGCUCUUUAAAAGAACAGAAAGUUGGAGGUUAACAGAGGCGGCCACAUGAAGACAGACUGAAGACAAGCUACUAGAAAGGAACGUUUGGAUCUACAGAACUUUAAGAGACUGAGAUUCUCCCUUUAGAAGCUUCAGAAGACCACAUCACAACUGACACCUUGGUACUGGACUGCUAGCAUCUAAAACUGUGAAUGACAAACCCUGUGUCUGGGUUGGCUACCUAGGCAUUGGCCCUGUGCUAUAGCAACCAUGGGAACCUUGUUUAGUCAUGUGUCUACUCAUUAGAUGCCCUCUCCUCACUUCUUCCCACAUAUUGUUAGCCCAAGAGGAUCAUGCUCUAGCAUCUUCACAGAGUAUGUCUGCUGAAUUGAGGGCGCAAUUUUAGCAUCUAGUGCCCUGAAACCUGAGACUAAGGGGCUGUCUUAUGCAUGCAUGCAUUCUACUGAAGGAGGCAUGGAAAGUAAUCUGGGACUGCUCCUGAGAGAGGAAAUACACCUCUGUUUAUUUGUAAAUAAUUCCUAUCAUUCAGAAGGCUUCCCACAUGUUGUUCUGCCUACACACCUUUGAGAAAUGUGUCUUUCUUUGCUUCCCCAACCUCAUCGCAUAGGGACCCAACCUUCUAGCUUUGUCCACCCUAAUUCUUCAAGCUUUAUAGCAACUGGAGAGAGAAAAGGCCUAUGUUCAAGGCUUUUUUAUUCCUGAACUACUUGGAGGAAUUACUCAUUAGGUUCUCUUCUAGAUUGCUUUUUGGGGAAUCGUAGACUGGUCGUGGGUUCUUGGCUAAUCCUCAAAGAACAUAAGGCAAAAUUCGCCAUUCUCCUGCCCCAUAAUUAUAGUAUCCAAUUACUUCUCAUGAGCUGUACAUAAAAGGAAAUUUGUAGAGUGGCUGCUUUGUAGGGAGGCUUUGGAAGCUUUAAAUUGUCCCCUGAAGCAAGGCUUAUAAAAGUGGUCUAUACAGAAGUGAAGUAGGUGGCCAUGGGCAGGAUGCAUCCAUUUUUACUGGAACUUUUCAGAGCACACAUGCUCCCUGAGGGAAGCUGUAUAAAUGUUGCCCUGUGGUUCACCUUGGGGUGGUACUCUGGAUGUUGAGUUGCUGGAGUUACUGUCAGGACAAGAGGUGGUGGUCAUGGUGGUGGUAGGGUGGUUGUAGUGAUGGUGGUGGAGAUGGUGGAGAUGGUAGAGAUGAUUGUGGUGGUGGUGGUGGUGAUGGUCCUAGAGGUAAUGGUUAUUGAGGACUCCUGCUUCUCCUUUUCAUUUGCCAGAGCCUCAAAUGGACCACUCCCAGUGCUGAUGUAACAGACCCCCCAGACCUUAACACAACUGACACCAUAAUAGAAGAACCAUUCUGGCCUUGGAAUUCUGUAUGAAGGCAGCAAUACUUGCCAAAACAAGAAUAAAGACUUCUGGGAAUGUCUCUAGAUGUACUAACCUUGAUUUUGGCUUCAGUUGUCCUACUUCUGACUAAAUGUCCUUGCUAACUGAAGUAUGUCAGCCCAGGAUGUGGUUUGGGGGCUUAAAAUCUCAUUCUGAGAAGGCUCAAGGCUGUACAUGGGUCCCCAACACCCAGUGUACUUUCUUGCCAGUUAAUAACUUUCUAUUGGCCUAAACCCAUGUCCAAAUAUUCUUCUCUGGUGGAUACCUUGCAAAGCAGAUUUUGCACGUUUAAAGGCUUCAUUCACUUGGCAUUGAAAAAUAUCAGAUGUUCUUCUAGUUAAUUGCAGUCUUGGACAUCCAUUUUUUGUAUGUUUUCAUACUCUCCUGUGGAAAUUAUUUUAAGAAGCUCUAGUGUCAUACAUAUUUAUAUACCUGUUAUUUUUUAUUGUCAACGCAUCCUGGAGCCAUCUUGGAAGAGGAAAGCUCAGCUGAGGAAUUGGCUUGAUCAGGUUGGCCUGUGGGCAUGUCCGUAGGACAUAUUUGUAGUUUGUAAUUGACUGAGGAUGUCCCUGCCCACUUUAGGAAGUGCCAUCUCCCGGUAGAUGGGUCUGGGCUAUGUAAAGAAGCUAGCUGAGCAAGCCAGGGGUAGAAAGCCAGCAAGUUCUGUUUCUCUAGGGUCCUUGCUUCUGUCCUUGUAGCCAAGUUCUCGCCUUGGGUUCCUGCCUGGACUUUCCUGCACGAUGGUCUGUAACCUGUAAGCUGAAAUAAACCCUUUCCUCUCCAAGUCAUUUUUGGUAAGGUUUACUACAGGAAUAGAAACAAAAUCAGGACAGUUUCUGAGGGGAGAGCUUUAUUCCCAGAGCUCAUGUCUUUACAAUGUUUUCAGAGUUGGGAGCAUCCACUAUCCCCUUUGGACCAUCUUUAAGUCAAAGGUUGCCUCUGUGGGGUUGUAAUGACCUUUCUGUGAACAGCUUGAAUAUAUAUCUUCCUAAACCUAUUGGAUAUACUAUAAAAGCCUAGCACUUCACAGCCUUCAGGCGCUCUGCAACAGGAAAGCUGUUUUCUCCCCGAGUUGUCAUGACAUCAGCUUCUUCAACCAGACCUCUUUGACUGCAACUUCAUUUUUCUUCUUUUCUGUCAAAUUUGCACCCACAGUGAGGAAGCAUCCACAGUGGAAAGGUUGUGAUAGCUGCUUUUCAUGCUACAGAUUAGAGUCAUCAGUUGUUGGGAGGGUCAACUGAAGAGUUGUCCUGAUGGUCUUUAUUGAUGUUGAAGAUCUGCUCUAAGUAUGGCUGUUAGCUUCUACAAGCAACCCAGACAUAAAGGGUGGGUGGGGACAGUGCUGUUCAACUUUCUUUCUUGCUGGUGAGUUGAUUACCCCAUGGCUGUUGCUGCUGCCAUUGUUGCUGAUUGCCUUGCUAACAUCAGAACAGGCAUUCCCAGGCUUCCAUUGUGGACUAAGGACCAUCGCUCUUCAGGAAACUUCUGGACUUACAACAUCAGAUUGAGACUGAUGAGCUUUUAUUCUAGUUGAAAAAGAGGGUGCAUGGCACUGAGAAAGGAGCAGAGGGAAGCGAAGGAGAGGCAAGGCGAGGCAAGAUGAAAACGGACGACUCCGCUGCUGAGCUUCUUAAAUGUGGAACUCAUUGUCUGUACUGGCUUUGGGGCAGAAAAAAGAAAAGAAAAGAAUAAAAAAAAAAAAAACAAGAGUUGAAAAA